This 590-nucleotide long non-coding RNA is filed under the name Dromaius novaehollandiae (emu). RNAcentral describes it as "lncRNA (ENSDNVG00000009535.1)". The record is from RNAcentral. Lineage: Eukaryota; Metazoa; Chordata; Aves; Casuariiformes; Dromaiidae.
UCCGUCUAAUGCUAUGCAGAAGCUUGAAGCCCAACUGGAUCUGAUGGUUUUUGGUACAUGCUUGCCUACUGCCCUGAGGCCCACACAGAUGGUGUGAGUGACUAACUGAUCCCUCGAUUUUGCACAGCCUACACACUGAUGUCAUUAGAAGAGACUAAUACCUCUGAGAUAUGAAUUCUUUCUACUAUUUGUACUAGAAAAAAUGUGAAGAGGGAAGGCAUGAGCCUUUGUUUUAAAAAAGAAAUAUUGAUGAACAGUGUGACAAAAGCAUCAGAAAGUCUGUCUUUCCUUGGGGCUAUCUGGAGGAAGAAACAGCCUGCCUUAAUGCUGGGGAUUAACCAGGUAAGACUGAACUUGAAGGAGAACUGCAACCAACUGGCAGAGUGUUGAUUUCUUAUUGCAGCGUUCUGCAGAUUCAGGACAACAGUGUGUUGUCUAACACUGAUACAUAUUGCUGAUUUGGAGAGCGUAACACUUACCCUAGCUAAGGUGCUGCACCAGGCCAGAUGACAUGUAGGCUAUUACCUGCUCAAAGGAGACCUGACACUCCCUGGCUGGGCAUCUGGUGACUGCUCCGUUCCUAUAAACCC